UUAUACGACAUAAAUUUGUUCACUUAAUCACACACCGUUGUGUCAUGGUACUUCAAGCAGGAUCGUAUGUAAGCUGGUGUAUUUUUUUAAAUCACUAACGUAAGUAAUCAUUUGAGAGCUGUCAUUUCCAGUAAGGGAACAUAGUGAGCCUCGAGGCUCUCCCUGGUUUUUGUGGUGCAGUGUGGGAUUUUUUUUAGGGAGUGAGGAGAGUUGUAGCGCACUGGAAGGAUUUCACGAUUGAGACAGCAGUGCCCUGACUGCUGAACUAGGGAGCUGAUUGAGACGCACCCCAUAACGAUUUUACAGCUUCAACACACUGUAUGGGUUGAGAUCGUUGUUUCCAGCAUUAUUUCCUUUUUAUUUGUCAUCUAUGUAUGUAUAAAAGAGAGACCAGUUUCAUUUUAGGAAAGUCUGUAAAAUGGUUUGCAGAACUAUAUACACUAUAAAACUGAAACUGUUAGUUACACAGUGUAGGAUUUCCCCACGCUGCCCCACACACAUCCAGUGUUAACAGAAGGGGAUCUGUUAGAGGAAGAGGAAGGCUUGUCAGUGUUUUCAUUGCAGCUCCAGACCACAUUUCACCUUUCAGCUGCGGUUAGCGCUCAAAUGAGGCUGCACUUUGCAUACGAGAGAAAACAAUCACAUGGACGUUGCAUCUGUAUUCGUAGCACACUUUAUGCGAACAGCCAUCUGCAUCGGCUGUAGGUCUGUAGUGAAGGCAAGUGAGUGAGGGAGGGAGGGAGUAAGGCAGGUAGGUGAGUGAAUGAAGUAGGGAGGUGAGGGAGGUAGGUAGGUAGGUGAGGUAGGUAGGUAGGUGAGGGAGGUAGGUAGGUAGGUAGGUGAGUGAAUGAAGUAGGGAGGUAGGUAGGUGAGGUAGGUAGGUGAGUGAAUGAGGUAGGUAGGUAGGUGAGGGAGGGAGGUAGUUGGUGAGGGAGGUAGGUAGGUAGGUGAGUGAAUGAAGUAGGGAGGUGAGGUAGGUAGGUGAGUGAAUGAGGUGAGGUAGGUAGGUGAGUGAAUGAGGUAGGUAGGG
Long non-coding RNA from Ictalurus punctatus (channel catfish), 1030 nucleotides. The record is from Ensembl. NCBI's taxonomy places the organism in Eukaryota, Metazoa, Chordata, Actinopteri, Siluriformes, Ictaluridae.